GAUUGGCUAGCCAAGUGGUUAGGCGCACGGUUGCAGCCCGUGUCACGGCGGUUCGAAUCCGUCACCAGUCUC
Molecule: transfer RNA, 72 nt
Filed under: Parcubacteria group bacterium ADurb.Bin316
Lineage: Bacteria
Description: tRNA-Cys
Rfam family: tRNA
About the family: Transfer RNA (tRNA) molecules are approximately 80 nucleotides in length. Their secondary structure includes four short double-helical elements and three loops (D, anti-codon, and T loops).
Source: RNAcentral